Molecule: ribosomal RNA, 253 nt
Filed under: uncultured bacterium
Lineage: Bacteria
Description: partial 16S ribosomal RNA
Rfam family: Bacterial small subunit ribosomal RNA
Source: RNAcentral
UACAGAGGUCCCAAGCGUUGUUCGGAUUCACUGGGCGUAAAGGGCGCGUAGGCGGGCUCUCAAGUCCGGGGUGAAAUCUUUCGGCUCAACCGGAAAAUAGCCUUGGAUACUGGGAGUCUCGAGGGAGGUAGGGGCGGGUGGAACUUCCGGUGGAGCGGUGAAAUGCGUUGAUAUCGGAAGGAACGCCGGUGGCGAAAGCGACCCGCUGGACCUCUUCUGACGCUGAGGCGCGAAAGCCAGGGGAGCAAACGGG